Long non-coding RNA from Tripterygium wilfordii, 2835 nucleotides. RefSeq lists it as uncharacterized. The transcript has 10 exons. Lineage: Eukaryota; Viridiplantae; Streptophyta; Magnoliopsida; Celastrales; Celastraceae. The record is from RefSeq and is a predicted model, not a curated record.
GAAAUUGGUACAAGAUUGCAAGAGGGGACAAACACUUUAAAAACCAACUAAAACAUAAUUGAACACAAACCCCAACCGCACAAGCAGACCCAUUUAACACCAAGCAAAAUGUGGAAGGCAACCAAAGCAGAUUCCACUUCAUUCCGUCUUUGUCGUCAACACCCUCGAUCUCGACAAAGGCUUUCUGGUCGCCGCUCGACGAAGCCCACGGCUGCGGCAUAAACAGGUUUUGGAUAUUUGGAUAUGAAUCGACUGGCACGGGAUCAACAGCUACUGGUUCCGGCAGAUGGCUCGAUAGAAGAGGGUGGCGAGUAUCGGAUGAUGUGCAGGUUCUGGUGGAAACCCAUUUGGGAGAAGCGUAAUUCUACCUAUGGAUCUAUUCAUCUCUGACUGAACUAACUAGCGUCUGGAGCCUCUGAGAGUGCCGUAGCAGAGCUGCCAAGUCAAGGCAAACCAAAUUUCGAGUUGGUCUUCAAUCUUCUCGAUGUCGAACUCAGCCUUCAGGUCUUGGAGUUUCAGCGGUGGUCUACGAUUUUCAGCCUUCAGGACUGUGGUACUGGACCACUGAUACUGUCAAAUACUCAGGUCCAGACAAAAUAAUUGAAUCAAAAUGGAUACAACUACGGAAGAUUUGUCAAAUCGAGUAGAUCUACUAAACCGGGUUCUUUUGGUUUAUUGAUCAUAUUGGCCUAUGUUUUCUCUGCCCUAUGUCAGAUAAGCGGAUCAUUGUCUGAUGGGGAGGGGUUCCAUUAGGAUGAUAUCUGCUCAUUCUAGCCAACAGAUUUACACAAGAGCCGCCAAUACCUGAUGAGCUGAUUAUUUUCUGUCAUGGACAAAGCGUAGUUUCUCUCUCUGUUUUGAAGAACUCAUUUAUGCUGUUUUCAUGAAGAUGACAGGAUUUUUAAUGGCGACUGUAUGUCAAAUUUUUUUUUUUGAACUUGAUAUUGGUAUGCACUUGGACGAAUGAUUUGAUUGGUUCCAUUAGGAUGAUAUCUGCUCAUUCUAGCCAGCAGAUUUACACAAUAGCCGCCAAUACCUGAUGAGCUGAUUAUUUUUUGUCAUGGACAAAUGAGUAGUUUCAAUCUCUGUUUUGAAGAACUCAUUCUUGCUGUUUUCAUGAAGAUGACUGGAUUUUUAAUGGUGACUGUAUGUCAAUUUUGUUUUUUGAACUUGACAUUGGUAUGCGCUUGGAUGAAUGAUUUGAUUGAUGAUGUUUGAAGACUUCCCACUUCACUUGAUAUAUGUUGUUGGCACAAGUGUUAUCUUUGUUCCUUUUAUUUUCAACCUAGCUAAUUCAUAAUGAAGUGUUCCAAACACCUAAAAAUUGUCGGCUAGGAUGCAAAUAAAUUAGGUUUUUGUUAGUCUGAACUUUAAUGUGCAUCAUCAUCCUCAACGAACAUCCUUGCUAGCUGUAGCUGUAACUGUAACUUACUCUGAAACUUCUUGUGCUUUGAUGCUCUUCUUAUCCGGGGUGGUUAAGAUGAUUCCACAGCUUAUGAGAGCUAUAUUAAAGCGGUGGUAAUGUCUGUGCAAUUGCGGGCUUGGUUGUUUCAUCAGAAUUCUGCGGCUAGAGCAACUCCGAUCUCGCAUUCUGUGGUUUCGUCCAUGUCCGUUUGAGUUUCUGGUGAAUUAAUGCCAAGUAAAAGAAUACGAGGACAAAAUGGUUUUACUUUUCUUCCUUCUCUCUUUGAAUUGUUAGAAGAAGGAAGGCAGCUUUACUUUCUCAGAAUUAUUGGUACAGGCUCGGUUUUUUCAUCAGUAUUCUGCGGCUGGAGCAACUCCGAGCUCGCAUUCUAUCGGCUUCCUACGGGUGCUUGGAAUGUUUUUUGUAGGUGGGUUCGUGAGAUUGGGGUGUUUCUUGUGAUAGUUCUGUGUCUCUUUGUUCCUUUUUGAUUUUGGUGAAGCAGAUGAUUGCGAUUGCAUUUUCAGAACCGCAAAUGGUUACAUGAAAGUCUAGGAUUCAGCCAUUAUUAGUUUCAUGAAAUCAGGUAUGUGAAAAUUUCAACGUCCUUUGUUAGUUUAUCUCCUUUGUUGAUAUUACUUGGAGGUCUUAUGGAUUGGCUUCUUUUCUUGGAGUAUCUAGAGGCUGGAUCUGGAUAUCUGUCGUUUUUUGUGUGUGUGAUCCGCAGCUUCGAUUGAAUUUUGGGGGCAUCAUUGUUUCAUUUUAUAAUUUUUAUAAUUAUAUCAGAUUAGUUCACAAAUGUGCUAUAUAAACGGCAGCGGGCUAUGGUUUCUGAGUUUUGUAAAAUGGGAAUAAAAUUUGUUGUCAUAAAUUAUUCUAAAAAUGCGAGGUUUUGCAGUUCAAAUAGCUGAAGUUGUUGAUGAUUCUUCAGUGACGAGAUGGGAGUGGGGUUGGGAGAGAGAGGGAGAGAGGCGAAGUUGAGAUUCCAUCUGGGUGGUUUGCUUAAGAUGCCCGCAUGAACCAUGAGGCCUCCAAGCAGUGAAAUUCGUCCGAAGAUCAUACGGGGGUGGUGUUGGUCUUGGAGGAUGGGAAUCGUUACAAGAAUUGUCCAUGUGGACUUGGCAUGUGCUUGGUUUCCACGGCGUAUUCUUAAAGGAAUCUAGGUCGAAACUUCUAUAAAUGCUGUUAGACAAGUAAAAUUCUUCUUCGUUUCUAUUUUUGCUACCGUGGGUUGUUGGAAAUAAGCAAGUUGAGUUAUGCCGGCAUGUCGUCUUUUAUAGUGAGUAUGAGCUUGGUAUAUAUCAAAUAAUGCCUCAAGCAGUAGUGGGAUUGUCUGCCUCCUCUCUCAAGAAGGAUGGUAGCCACUUCGUCAAAGAUUCUACAUGGGUAUCAAUGUUAACCUUUUCAAUUUAUUUCUCAAUUUUUAUCAAGUA